GUGCCAGCCGCCGCGGUAAUACUUAGGGUGCAAGCGUUAUCCGGAAUUAUUGGGCGUAAAGAGCUCGUAGGCGGUUUGUCACGUCUGCUGUGAAAACCCGAGGCUCAACCUCGGGCCUGCAGUGGGUACGGGCAGACUAGAGUGCGGUAGGGGAGAUUGGAAUUCCUGGUGUAGCGGUGGAAUGCGCAGAUAUCAGGAGGAACACCGAUGGCGAAGGCAGAUCUCUGGGCCGUAACUGACGCUGAGGAGCGAAAGCGUGGGGAGCGAACAGGAUUAGAUACUCCCGUAGUCC
This 292-nucleotide ribosomal RNA is filed under the name uncultured bacterium. RNAcentral describes it as "partial 16S ribosomal RNA". It matches the Rfam family "Bacterial small subunit ribosomal RNA", at positions 505 to 796 of the family's 1533-position model. The record is from RNAcentral.